ACUUUGAUANCUUACAACUUUCUCCGCCAGGGGACUACGAGCGCUAGCUUAAAACCCNAAAGACUUGGCGGUGCCCUACACCCACCUAGAGGAGCCUGUUCUAUAAUCGAUACCCCCCGCUUUACCUCACCAAUUUUUGCCAAAACCGCCUGUAUACCGCCGUCGCCAACUUACCCUUUGAAGGUUAAAAAGUAAGUAUAAUGGUCUUUCACCAAAACGUCAGGUCAAGGUGCAGCGAAUAAAUUGGAUAGAAAUGGGCUACAUUUUCUACCCUAGAAAAUUACGGAAAAUCACUAUGAAACCUGAUUAGAAGGCGGAUUUAGCAGUAAAAAGAAACCAGAACAUUCUUUUUAAUCUGGCCCUAGGGCGCGCACACACCGCCCGUCACCCU
This 391-nucleotide ribosomal RNA is filed under the name Pelobates syriacus transcaucasicus. RNAcentral's name for it is "partial 12S ribosomal RNA". It matches the Rfam family "Bacterial small subunit ribosomal RNA", at positions 846 to 1403 of the family's 1533-position model. The record is from RNAcentral. Lineage: Eukaryota; Metazoa; Chordata; Amphibia; Anura; Pelobatidae.